Molecule: ribosomal RNA, 253 nt
Filed under: uncultured bacterium
Lineage: Bacteria
Description: partial 16S ribosomal RNA
Rfam family: Bacterial small subunit ribosomal RNA
Source: RNAcentral
UACGAAGGGGGCUAGCGUUGCUCGGAAUCACUGGGCGUAAAGCGCACGUAGGCGGAUCUUUAAGUCAGGGGUGAAAUCCUGGAGCUCAACCCCAGAACUGCCUUUGAUACUGGGGAUCUCGAGUCCGGAAGAGGUGAGUGGAACUCCGAGUGUAGAGGUGAAAUUCGUAGAUAUUCGGAAGAACACCAGUGGCGAAGGCGGCUCACUGGUCCGGUACUGACGCUGGGGUGCGAAAGCGUGGGGAGCAAACAGG